AGUGAACGCUGGCGGUAGGCCUAACACAUGCAAGUCGAACGGCAGCACAGUAAGAGCUUGCUCUUACGGGUGGCGAGUGGCGGACGGGUGAGGAAUAAAUCGGAAUCUACUUUUUCGUGGGGGAUAACGUAGGGAAACUUACGCUAAUACCGCAUACGACCUACGGGUGAAAGCAGGGGAUCUUCGGACCUUGCGCGAUUGAAUGAGCCGAUGUCGGAUUAGCUAGUUGGCGGGGUAAAGGCCCACCAAGGCGACGAUCCGUAGCUGGUCUGAGAGGAUGAUCAGCCACACUGGAACUGAGACACGGUCCAGACUCCUACGGGAGGCAGCAGUGGGGAAUAUUGGACAGUGGGCGCAAGCCUGAUCCAGCCAUACCGCGUGGGUGAAGAAGGCCUUCGGGUUGUAAAGCCCUUUUGUUGGGAAAGAAAAGCAGCAGGUUAAUACCCCGCUGUUCUGACGGUACCCAAAGAAUAAGCACCGGCUAACUUCGUG
Molecule: ribosomal RNA, 492 nt
Filed under: uncultured bacterium
Lineage: Bacteria
Description: partial 16S ribosomal RNA
Rfam family: Bacterial small subunit ribosomal RNA
Source: RNAcentral